This 498-nucleotide ribosomal RNA is filed under the name uncultured bacterium. Its description in RNAcentral is "bacterial SSU rRNA". It matches the Rfam family "Bacterial small subunit ribosomal RNA", at positions 29 to 518 of the family's 1533-position model. The record is from RNAcentral.
AUGAACGCUAGCGACAGGCUUAACACAUGCAAGUCGAGGGGUAACAGGGUAGCAAUACCGCUGACGACCGGCGCACGGGUGAGUAACGCGUAUGCAACCUGCCUAUAACUGGGGAAUAGCUCCCUGAAAGGGGAAUUAACACCGCAUAAUACUAUUGAUUCGCAUGGAUUAGUAGUUAAAUGUAGCGAUACAGGUUAUAGAUGGGCAUGCGUGACAUUAGCUAGUUGGUGAGGUAACGGCUCACCAAGGCUACGAUGUCUAGGGGUUCUGAGAGGAAGGUCCCCCACACUGGUACUGAGACACGGACCAGACUCCUACGGGAGGCAGCAGUGAGGAAUAUUGGUCAAUGGGCGCAAGCCUGAACCAGCCAUGUCGCGUGCAGGAAGACUGCCCCCUAUGGGUUGUAAACUGCUUUUAUAGUAGAAGAAACACAUCUACGUGUAGAUGUCUGCCAGUAUACUAUGAAUAAGCAUCGGCUAACUCCGUGCCAGCAGCAGC